Molecule: ribosomal RNA, 633 nt
Filed under: Vibrio sp. C1
Lineage: Bacteria; Pseudomonadati; Pseudomonadota; Gammaproteobacteria; Vibrionales; Vibrionaceae
Description: bacterial SSU rRNA
Rfam family: Bacterial small subunit ribosomal RNA
Source: RNAcentral
CAUGCAGUCGAGCGGAACGACUUAUCUGAACCUUCGGGGAACGAUAAGGGCGUCGAGCGGCGGACGGGUGAGUAAUGCCUAGGAAGUUGCCCGGUAGAGGGGGAUAACCAUUGGAAACGAUGGCUAAUACCGCAUAAUCUCUACGGAGCAAAGCAGGGGACCUUCGGGCCUUGUGCUACCGGAUACGCCUAGGUGGGAUUAGCUAGUUGGUGAGGUAAAGGCUCACCAAGGCGACGAUCCCUAGCUGGUCUGAGAGGAUGAUCAGCCACACUGGAACUGAGACACGGUCCAGACUCCUACGGGAGGCAGCAGUGGGGAAUAUUGCACAAUGGGCGAAAGCCUGAUGCAGCCAUGCCGCGUGUAUGAAGAAGGCCUUCGGGUUGUAAAGUACUUUCAGCAGUGAGGAAGGGUGUGUACUUAAUACGUGCAUAUCUUGACGUUAGCUGCAGAAGAAGCACCGGCUAACUCCGUGCCAGCAGCCGCGGUAAUACGGAGGGUGCGAGCGUUAAUCGGAAUUACUGGGCGUAAAGCGCAUGCAGGUGGUUCAUCAAGUCAGAUGUGAAAGCCCGGGGCUCAACCUCGGAACUGCAUUUGAAACUGUUGGACUAGAGUACUGUAGAGGGGGGUAGAAUU